Molecule: unclassified non-coding RNA, 237 nt
Filed under: uncultured Stephanosporaceae
Lineage: Eukaryota; Fungi; Basidiomycota; Agaricomycetes; Agaricales; Stephanosporaceae
Description: sequence contains ITS2
Source: RNAcentral
AAUCAUCAACUCCAAAACCUUUGUGUUAUUGGUGCUUGGUCUUGAGGGUUAUUGUGGGCUCUUUGUGAGUCCACUCCCUUUAAAUCCAUUAGCGAGACUUCCCUGUGCUGGAACUUGUGUCUUGACAUGAUAGUCUAUCUGUGUCAAAUAUUUACAGUUCUCAUUGGGCUUGCUUCUAAUCGUCCUGUUUGGACAAUAGGAUCUGAGUGCAUUUUUUGGCACCCUUUUCCAAACCUA